UUGUGCAAAAGCUUUUAUGCUUAAUCAGGUCCUAUUAUUUAUUGAUGCUUUUAUUUUGUCCUAGGAGACAGAUUCAAAAAAUUUUGCUACAAUUUAUGUUUCUUUAUAGUUUUAUGGUUUCAGGCCUUACAACUAGGUCUUUAAUUCAUUUUGAAUUUAUUUUUGCAUAAAGUGUUGAGGUAAUGUUCUAAUCUCAUUAUUACACAUGUAUCUGUCCAGUUUUCCCAACACUGCUUUUUGAAAACCCUGUAUUUUCUCUAUUGUACAUUCUUACCUCUUUUUUGCUGAUUAAUUAAUAAUAGGUGCAUGGGAUUAUUUCUUGGCUCUAUAUCUGUUCCUUCGAUCUAUGUGUCUGUUUUUGUGCCAGUACAAUGCUGUUUUGAUUACUCUAGCUUUGUAAUACCGUCUGAAAUCUGGAGGGUGAUACCUCUAGUUUUGUCCUUUUUUCUCAAGAUGGCUUUGGCAAUUCUGGGUCUUUUGUGGUUCUGUGUAAGUUUUGGGAUUAUACUCGUGAAAAAAAUGUCAUGGGUAUUUUGAUAGAGAUUGCUGUUAAUCUGUAGAUUGCUUUGGGUAAUAUGGUCAUUUUAGCAAUGUUAUUUCUUCAGUCUAACUACAAGAUAUCUUUCCAUUUCUUUAACUCUUCAUAAGCUUCCUUCAACAAUGUUUGAUAGCUUUCAGAGUAUAGGUCUUUCGCCUCCUUGGUUAAGUUUAUUUCUAAUUAUUUUAUUGUUUUUGAUGGGAUUUUUUUAACCUUUGCUUUUUGAUGGUUCAUUAUAAUUGUGUAGAAAUGCAGGAGUUCUUGUCAUGGCUCAGCAGUAACAAACCCAACUAGUAUCCAUGAGGAUUAGGGUUCAGUCCCUGGCCUCACUCAGUGGGUUAAGGAUCCAGUGCUGCCUUGAGCUGUGGUGUAGGCUGUAGAUGCAGCUUGGAUGUGGCAUUGCUGUGUCUGUGGCUGUGGCUGGCAGCUGCAGCUCUGAUUUGAUUCCUAGCCUGAGAACUUCCACAUGCCAUAGGAGUGGCCCUAAAGAGCAAAAAAUAAAAAUAAAAAAAUUUAAACAUAAUAAAAAAGAGAGAAAUGCAGUAGAUUUUUAUAUAUAAAUCUGUAUCUUGCAACUUUGUUGAAUUCAUUUAUCAGUUCGAAUGUUUUUGAGUGGAGACUUUAAGGUUUUUCUAUAUAAAGUACCAUAUCAUCUUCAAAUAGUGAGUGACAGGUUUACUUCUCUUCCAGUUUGGAUUCCUUUUACUUUUUUUUUUUUUUUUUGUCUGAUUGUUAAGAUUUUGAUGUUUGCAAAUGCACAGAUAAUGCUUUAUCACUACUUCCACCUGGCCGACAAAGAUUGUAACCUUUCAUCAACUUCAAGAAACAUUCCAUUUUCAAAGAUAUGUAAAACAUGAAAAACAUGCAUUGAAAAAAUCAAUAAAAUAGGUAACAUAUUUAAUCCUUACAAUCCUAUGACACAGAUAACAUUAUUAUCAUACUUUUAUAAGUGAACUAAAGCACAGAGAAUUUGAGUAACUUGACCAGGAUAGCACAGUUAAUUGGUGUUAAAGCUGGAGUUCAAAGCCAGGAUUCUGGCUCCAGAGACUUUAAAGUAGCCCUUAGCUUCAGAGCUCUAUUCCUGUUUCAUCAAAGCUUCGUUCUAAAAUACCCAAGCAGCAAACAUUUAUACUAUUCUCCUAAGGCUAACUACUCGGUGCAGAUCACAAUCAGAAAGCCUCAAGGCUAUGGAAAACAGUAUGGAGAUACCUCAGAAAACUAAAUACAGAACUAUCAUAUGACCCAGCAAGCCUACUCCUGGGCAUAUAUUCCAGAUUUGGCAUAUAUCCAAAACUUUCAUUGAAAGAGAUACAUGCAUCCCCUAUGUUCAUUGCAGCACCAUUCACAAUAGUCGAGACCUCAAACAACCUAAUGUCCAUCAAUAAAUGAAUGGAUUAAGAAGAUGUGGUAAAUGUAUACACGAUGGAAUACUACUCAGCCAUAAAAAAGAAUAAAAUAAUGUGGAUGGAACUGGAGACUCUCAUACUAAGUGAAGUAAGUCAGAAAGAGAAAGACAAAUACCAUAUGAUUCUUAUAUCUGGAAUCUAACAUAUGGCACAAAUGAACCUAUCUACGGAAAAGAAACAGACUCACAUAGACUUGUGGUUGCCAAGGGGGAGGGAGUGGAAUUAACUGGGAGUUUGGGGUUAGCAGAUGCAAACUAUUGCAUUUGCAGUGGAUAAGCAAUGAGAUCCACUGUAUAGCACAGGGAACUACAUCUAGUCAUUUGUGAUGGAACAUGAUGGAGGAUAAUGUAAGAAAAAGAGUAUAUAUAUUCUUUAUACAUAUAUGGCUGGGUCACUUUGCUGUACAGCAGAUAUUGACAGAACAUUUUAAAUCAACUAUAAUAGAAAAAAUAAAAAUCUUUUUAAAAACUAAAUAAUAAUAAUAAAAAGAAAGCCUCAAGGCCUUUGGCUAGGAUUUAAUUUACCUAAUUUACCACAUCUUGAAAAUCAGAAAUCUAUUAGUUCAUUCUCUAGUUGUUUGUUCUUCAAACCCUCACCUGGGUGCAUUUUCCUUGAAGGCAUCACCUGUCUUGAGACCCAGCAUUCUCCACUGCUCCAGACUAGAAAGAAGUGCAGGUUUUGAGAAUGAGAUACCUGCAUAUGGGUAAAGACAAAGGAUAUGGCUUAUUGCACAUAACUUUCCCAGAGCUCUGGUUCUAAACCCAGGGAUCGGGGACAAGCUGAGAGAAGGGAUCAGGCCAAGCAAUUCAAAUGACCACUAAUUAGUCUUGGAUGAAACAUUCCACCUUAGACAAUUUGGGCUUUUUCCUGUUGUAAACCUUCAAUUAAUAUCUUUCAUCCCCAAAAAAUUGUAAGCUCACGAGAACAGGAACCAUGUUGUUUUUCUGUUACAUUCCCAGCACUUGGAAAAAUAAAUGGCACAUAGCUAUAAAUAUUUUUUUUGGAUUUUAGGGCUGCCUACACAGCAUAUGGAGGUUCCAGGCUAGGGAUCGAAUCAGAGCUGUAGCUCCAGCCUACUCCACAGCCACAGCAAUAUGGGAUCCAAGCCACAUCUGGGACCUACACCACAGCUCACGGCAAUGCUAGAUCCUUAACCCACUGAGCAAGUCCAUGGAUUGAACCUGCAUCCUCAUGGAUACUAGUCGGGUUCAUUACCGCUGAGCCACAACGGGAACCCCAAGAAAUGCAAAUCUUUAGAGACACAAAGACAGCUAAGGGUCUAUGGAGGUUUUUUUAAAAAGACAUCUGCAAGUGCUUAAAAAGAACAAAGAGAAUAUUAUAGAUCCCUCCAAACUUUAGUCAACUGAAUGCACCAAAGUUUAUCAAAUUUAUCUACCCCUGAAAGCAGCCUCCCAAAGUCUUCUGAAAUGAGUGUUUACAUAUAAAUUUUUAUUACUGUAAUGUACACAUUCACUCUCAUUUGACCAGCUUCCCUGACUGCCUAUGACAGAAAUUUCGGCAGCCAGAGGUAAACUCAACUUCUGGAGCUGACUGGAACCGGGAGCUAAGGCAUGCCAUACACAGAGCAGGUCAUUUAUACUGAUUUAUCAGGGGUCAGGCCAAGGACUCACAGACAGGGCUCAGAUACAGUCUUCUUUGCCCCUGGCCAAGUUUCCCUAACUACAAAUGAAUAAAGUUCAAGGCAAGGGGAUCAUUUUGUCUAUAAUUCAAGUAGAAAAUUGUUUGCCUGUGGUAUAAGAUAAGGACAGCACAUCAAUCAAAAGAUAUGAAAAAAUAGAUAUCUAAAUUCAUCAUACUUUACAGACAAAGACUUGGGUCCCCAGAUCAUAGGACCAGAAGUUAUGUAAAUACUGGGAGAGUUUCUGUUUGAACGUUUAUGAGCUGAGUUGAUCUGAAGGCUUCACUCCUUGACUGGAAUUACCCUGACCAUCUGCCACCUGUGUUACCUUCGUUGAGAGUUCCCCCUCAUGGGAACUCUGGGACGCCCAGAGCCGUGGUCCUUCCCCUUGUUCUAGGAAAGGAGUAGCACUGUGUUUGGGGUUCUGAAAACCUGUUAAUGUGAAAGUUACUGGGAGGAGGAAGUUCCAACAAAAUUGUCUGAAAAGUCAAAUAUCUCAGUCCCUCUCCCCUCCCUCUCCCCAUCGCCCCCUCUCCGUUCAGGGCUUCUCCGGGUUUUCCUUUGAAAUACUGUAAAUGCACAUGUCCAUGUGCUCUGUGAAGGGUCUGGGGAAAGAGAGGAACGCGUCCUGCUGGGAAAAAUAAACUUCUUACACAACCGUCUUAUGAAAUCUUUGGAAUUUUGCACAAAGUUUGAAUACACUAAACUGUUUUUCUUAUAUAAAUACCUUCUGGCCAAGAAGAUGCACAUGGCACCCUGCUCUGUAUUCCUGCAAUUUCAAUUGUCUCAAAUUUGAGAAGUGUGUUCCUAUACCAUCUACAAGGAACUCUAGCUGCAAUUCCUUCCAUAUAGUUGCCAGUCUACUUAAAGAACAAUGAGUAUCCAAUAAUGUUUGUUGGAUGGAUGGAUGGAUGGAUAUCAUUUGGAAGAGUAAACUUUCUAUCUGUGAAAAAAACAAGUUAUUCCUGCCCCAAACUAGGGAAGCUCAAGGGUUUCAGCAGAAUUAAAUCAAACAAAGCAAAACAAAAACAAAGCAAAAGCAAACCAAACUGGAAACUCAUUUAAAACCAUAUCUCUGGAACAAUCCCAAUGUUUGCCUUUCAGAUACAAAGCAGCAAAACAUAUUUAUAAGUUUCCUCUCAACCAUGCUCAAGGCAAUACAGAACCUGGACCAUACAAAUGGGUCGCUUCUGAGUCUAGUCAUAAGGGGCAAAAGGAAAAAGCUUGUAAGUCAUUACUAACCCUACUCUAAUCCUCCUCGGGUCCCAUAUUUAUAGUCUUCUCCCUUUCUGAGUUUGGAGCGAGAGAAAUUAACAGUGUCCUCUAGCCCAGGAUCUUUUAGACCAGUAGAUCAGGUUGAGCUCCUGGAUCCACAGAGAACUUUCACAAAAUACACAUACUUCCCUCAAAUCAAAACCUCCAGGGUAGAGACUGGAAAAACGCUUCAGUAUCUGAUGGGAACCCUAGUUAAGAAUAACUAAAACAGCGGCUAUAGACUGCUAGCCUGCAAGCAAACUUU
Molecule: long non-coding RNA, 5102 nt
Filed under: Sus scrofa (pig)
Lineage: Eukaryota; Metazoa; Chordata; Mammalia; Artiodactyla; Suidae
Description: lncRNA (ENSSSCG00000061654.1)
Source: RNAcentral